RNAcentral lists this ribosomal RNA (713 nucleotides) under Salmonella enterica. RNAcentral describes it as "bacterial SSU rRNA". It matches the Rfam family "Bacterial small subunit ribosomal RNA", at positions 809 to 1522 of the family's 1533-position model. Lineage: Bacteria; Pseudomonadati; Pseudomonadota; Gammaproteobacteria; Enterobacterales; Enterobacteriaceae. The record is from RNAcentral.
AUGUCUACUUGGAGGUUGUGCCCUUGAGGCGUGGCUUCCGGAGCUAACGCGUUAAGUAGACCGCCUGGGGAGUACGGCCGCAAGGUUAAAACUCAAAUGAAUUGACGGGGGCCCGCACAAGCGGUGGAGCAUGUGGUUUAAUUCGAUGCAACGCGAAGAACCUUACCUGGUCUUGACAUCCACAGAAGAAUCCAGAGAUGGAUUUGUGCCUUCGGGAACUGUGAGACAGGUGCUGCAUGGCUGUCGUCAGCUCGUGUUGUGAAAUGUUGGGUUAAGUCCCGCAACGAGCGCAACCCUUAUCCUUUGUUGCCAGCGAUUAGGUCGGGAACUCAAAGGAGACUGCCAGUGAUAAACUGGAGGAAGGUGGGGAUGACGUCAAGUCAUCAUGGCCCUUACGACCAGGGCUACACACGUGCUACAAUGGCGCAUACAAAGAGAAGCGACCUCGCGAGAGCAAGCGGACCUCAUAAAGUGCGUCGUAGUCCGGAUUGGAGUCUGCAACUCGACUCCAUGAAGUCGGAAUCGCUAGUAAUCGUGGAUCAGAAUGCCACGGUGAAUACGUUCCCGGGCCUUGUACACACCGCCCGUCACACCAUGGGAGUGGGUUGCAAAAGAAGUAGGUAGCUUAACCUUCGGGAGGGCGCUUACCACUUUGUGAUUCAUGACUGGGGUGAAGUCGUAACAAGGUAACCGUAGGGGAACCUGCGGUUGGA